This 263-nucleotide ribosomal RNA is filed under the name uncultured bacterium. Its description in RNAcentral is "partial 16S ribosomal RNA". The record is from RNAcentral.
CUGCUGCCUCCCGUAGGAGUCUGGUCCGUGUCUCAGCACCAGUGUGGGGGACCUUCCUCUCAGAACCCCUAGACAUCGUCGCCUUGGUGGGCCGUUACCCCGCCAACUAGCUAAUGUCACGCAUGCCCAUCCGUCUCCGGAGUCGCCUCCUUUGGCCGAAAGAAGAUGCCUCCCCUCGGCCACAUGCGGUAUUAGGCCGGAUUUCUCCGGGUUAUCCCGCUGAAACGGGCAGGUUGCAUACGCGUUACUCACCCGUGCGCCGG